This 484-nucleotide ribosomal RNA is filed under the name uncultured bacterium. RNAcentral's name for it is "partial 16S ribosomal RNA". It matches the Rfam family "Bacterial small subunit ribosomal RNA", at positions 28 to 523 of the family's 1533-position model. The record is from RNAcentral.
GAUGAACGCUGGCGGCGUGCUUAACACAUGCAAGUCGAACGGUGAAAGGGGAGCUUGCUCCUCUGGAUCAGUGGCGAACGGGUGAGUAACACGUGAGCAAUCUGCCCCGAACUCUGGGAUAAGCGCUGGAAACGGCGUCUAAUACCGGAUACGACGCGGGAGGGCAUCCUCUCCGCGUGGAAAGAAUUUCGGUUCGGGAUGAGCUCGCGGCCUAUCAGCUUGUUGGUGAGGUAACGGCUCACCAAGGCGACGACGGGUAGCCGGCCUGAGAGGGUGACCGGCCACACUGGGACUGAGACACGGCCCAGACUCCUACGGGAGGCAGCAGUGGGGAAUAUUGCACAAUGGGCGCAAGCCUGAUGCAGCAACGCCGCGUGAGGGACGACGGCCUUCGGGUUGUAAACCUCUUUUAGCAGGGAAGAAGCGAAAGUGACGGUACCUGCAGAAAAAGCACCGGCUAACUACGUGCCAGCCGCCGCGGUAA